Cordylochernes scorpioides is the source of this 115-nucleotide non-coding RNA. NCBI's taxonomy places the organism in Eukaryota, Metazoa, Arthropoda, Arachnida, Pseudoscorpiones, Chernetidae. The record is from the annotation of a GenBank genome assembly.
AUCUAGUAGGUUUGAUGAAAACACCUGUUCUCAUCCAUUCACUGAAGUUUAGCAAUGUCAAGCCCGAUCAGUACUUGGGAGGGUGACCACCUGGGAACAUCGAGUUCUGUAGACU